This 253-nucleotide ribosomal RNA is filed under the name uncultured bacterium. Its description in RNAcentral is "partial 16S ribosomal RNA". It matches the Rfam family "Archaeal small subunit ribosomal RNA", at positions 474 to 727 of the family's 1478-position model. The record is from RNAcentral.
UACCAGCACCCCGAGCGGUCGGGACGAUUAUUGGGCCUAAAGCAUCCGUAGCCGGUUUUACAAGUCCCCCGUUAAAUCCAACUGCUUAACAGAUGGGCCGCGGAGGAUACUAUAAGACUAGGAGGCAGGAGAGGCAAGCGGUACUUAGUGGGUAGGGGUAAAAUCCGUUGAUCCAUUGAAGACCACCAGUGGCGAAGGCGGCUUGCCAGAACGCACUCGACGGUGAGGGAUGAAAGCUGGGGGAGCAAACCGG